UAACACUAACUGGAGGACCGAACCGACUAAUGUUGAAAAAUUAGCGGAUGACCUGUGGCUGGGGGUGAAAGGCCAAUCAAACCGGGAGAUAGCUGGUUCUCCCCGAAAGCUAUUUAGGUAGCGCCUCGUGAAUUCAUCUCCGGGGGUAGAGCACUGUUUCGGCUAGGGGGCCAUCCCGGCUUACCAACCCGAUGCAAACUGCGAAUACCGGAGAAUGUUAUCACGGGAGACACACGGCGGGUGCUAACGUCCGUCGUGAAGAGGGAAACAACCCAGACCGCCAGCUAAGGUCCCAAAGUCAUGGUUAAGUGGGAAACGAUGUGGGAAGGCCCAGACAGCCAGGAUGUUGGCUUAGAAGCAGCCAUCAUUUAAAGAAAGCGUAAUAGCUCACUGGUCGAGUCGGCCUGCGCGGAAGAUGUAACGGGGCUAAACCAUGCACCGAAGCUGCGGCAGCGAACGUAUCACCCAAGACAACUUUACGGAGUUGACGAUUGACGGAGCGAAGCGACGUCAAAGCGUUCAUUAAAGUCGAGUUGGCUUAGGGAUACGUUCGUUGGGUAGGGGAGCGUUCUGUAAGCCUGUGAAGGUGUGUCGUGAGGCAUGCUGGAGGUAUCAGAAGUGCGAAUGCUGACAUAAGUAACGAUAAAGCGGGUGAAAAGCCCGCUCGCCGGAAGACCAAGGGUUCCUGUCCAACGUUAAUCGGGGCAGGGUGAGUCGACCCCUAAGGCGAGGCCGAAAGGCGUAGUCGAUGGGAAACGGGUUAAUAUUCCCGUACUUGGUGUUACUGCGAAGGGGGGACGGAGAAGGCUAUGUUGGCCGGGCGACGGUUGUCCCGGUUUAAGCGUGUAGGUGUGUGUUCCAGGUAAAUCCGGUU
This 874-nucleotide ribosomal RNA is filed under the name Salmonella enterica. RNAcentral describes it as "partial 23S ribosomal RNA". It matches the Rfam family "Bacterial large subunit ribosomal RNA", at positions 757 to 1547 of the family's 2925-position model. Lineage: Bacteria; Pseudomonadati; Pseudomonadota; Gammaproteobacteria; Enterobacterales; Enterobacteriaceae. The record is from RNAcentral. RNAcentral also lists the same sequence under 1 other name.